RNAcentral lists this transfer RNA (68 nucleotides) under Alaysia sp. n. 2 MM-2023. RNAcentral describes it as "tRNA-Ile". Lineage: Eukaryota; Metazoa; Annelida; Polychaeta; Sabellida; Siboglinidae. The record is from RNAcentral.
GAUACCGCGCCGGGCAAGAACGGAUAACUCUGAUGAUGUUAAACACGAGAGCUAUCUCUCCGAUAUCG